Molecule: unclassified non-coding RNA, 204 nt
Filed under: Hevea brasiliensis (rubber tree)
Lineage: Eukaryota; Viridiplantae; Streptophyta; Magnoliopsida; Malpighiales; Euphorbiaceae
Source: RNAcentral
AAAAAAUCUAUAAGAAAAAACGCUAUAUUCCAGAAAUUUUCAGCGAUGUGAGGAUACUCCACAAAACGACUAAGAAGCCCUAUUACAGAAAAUUUCAAUCAAAGCGGCUAUUUCAGAAAUUUUCAGCGAAGCUUUUGAUGAGGAAAACAACAGCGAACAACAAUCACUUAGACUACAAAUCUCUUGGACAUCGAAGCUUUUGUU